CCUACGGGUGGCAGCAGUGAGGAAUAUUGGUCAAUGGACGAGAGUCUGAACCAGCCAAGUAGCGUGAAGGAUGACUGCCCUAUGGGUUGUAAACUUCUUUUAUAUGGGAAUAAAAUGUUCCACGUGUGGGAUUUUGUAUGUACCAUAUGAAUAAGGAUCGGCUAACUCCGUGCCAGCAGCCGCGGUAAUACGGAGGAUCCGAGCGUUAUCCGGAUUUAUUGGGUUUAAAGGGUGCGUAGGUGGAUUGUUAAGUCAGUUGUGAAAGUUUGCGGCUCAACCGUAAAAUUGCAGUUGAAACUGGCAGUCUUGAGUACAGUAGAGGUGGGCGGAAUGCGUGGUGUAGCGGUGAAAUGCUUAGAUAUCACGAAGAACUCCGAUUGCGAAGGCAGUUCACUGGACUGCAACUGACACUGAGGCUCGAAAGUGUGGGUAUCAAACAGGAUUAGAUACCCUAGUAGUC
This 460-nucleotide ribosomal RNA is filed under the name uncultured bacterium. Its description in RNAcentral is "partial 16S ribosomal RNA". It matches the Rfam family "Bacterial small subunit ribosomal RNA", at positions 338 to 795 of the family's 1533-position model. The record is from RNAcentral.